GAUGGAGAACGUAGCGAAAUGCGAUAAGUAAUGUGAAUUGCAGAAUUCAGUGAAUCAUCGAAUCUUUGAACGCACAUUGCGCCCGCCAGUAUUCUGGCGGGCAUGCCUGUUCGAGCGUCAUUUCAACCAUCAAGCCCCCGGCUUGGGUUGGGGACCUGCGGCUGCCGCAGGCCCUGAAAAGCAGUGGCGGGCUCGCUGUCACACCGAGCGUAGUAGCAUACAUCUCGCUCUGGGCGUGCUGCGGGUUCCGGCCGUUAAACCACCUUCAUAACCCAAGGUUGACCUCGGAUCAGGUAGGAAGACCCGCUGAACUUAAGCAUAUCAAUAAGCGGAGGA
Molecule: unclassified non-coding RNA, 336 nt
Filed under: soil metagenome
Description: partial contains 5.8S ribosomal RNA, internal transcribed spacer 2, and large subunit ribosomal RNA
Rfam family: 5.8S ribosomal RNA (bases 1-120)
Source: RNAcentral